Non-coding RNA from Zootermopsis nevadensis, 1168 nucleotides. The record is from RefSeq and is a predicted model, not a curated record. Lineage: Eukaryota; Metazoa; Arthropoda; Insecta; Blattodea; Termopsidae.
GAAAAAAACGACAUACUAUUCUGAUGUAUUUUGCGUCUGACUUGGUUGCCGAUGGACAUUGCUCGGAAAUAAUAUGGUGGAAAAAUGUGUUUUUAAAAGAAGUUCAACGGGGAAAUGUGUUUUUAAAAGCAGUUUAAUAUUCGGGCCAAAGCUUUUUCCACAGAUAGUGGCAUGAUAAAUAUCGGUUUGUAAGGGGCGUUAAUUUUGACUGCAUCAAGUCUCAAAGUGAGGUUAUACUCAUUAAUUCAGUGAGUACAACAUAACGUCGCUUAUGAAGAUGACCCAGAGGGCUAAAAAACCAAGCUGCUUGCGACGUACAGGUUUUCAAAGAGUGUGACAAAAUUCCUAACUUCUGUGGAAGGUUGGCCAUCCUGUUUCACAACCUCAGGUCGUAUGACUUGUUGUCACGCAUGCGUCUCAUCCUUUCCGAGGCGGCUGCUGAGGAAAUUGUGUUUCCAUUCCAUGAACUAUAUUGAAUUUAUUCAGAAAGUAGAGGAACGUAGUGACUGAGAAAACCAUGGAGAAGAAAUACUUGGAUUUUGGUUAUCAGAACCUGGGUAUAAUCUAAAUGGAAAAGGAUAUCGAUGUUCAAAGUGAAAAAGAUUCCAUUGGCGUGGUAUCUGAUGAGGUUCAUAUACAAUCAGGAACUUCAAUACAAAAAGAUGAAACUGAGGUAAGCCUUCCUUUCAGAUGAGCUUUUUUUCCUGUCUAUUUAUACAAGUGCCUGAGUGUUUCUUCUUACUAUAUAAGUUGUUAUUUGUGAAACAGUUAUAACGAUGGAACAUUACUGUACCUUUUACCCUAACUCUGAUUUGCUCCUGUAGUGAUCAAGGCCUGUAAGAAUAAUAGCAAAUUGCAGCCUGAAUUGGGUAGUGUACAUAUAUAUUCAUUAUCUUAAUUUGUAAUACAAAGUAACAUAGACUCCUUUUUCAGGCUUGUAGAAGAACUGAGCUCCAGUAAUUGUAAAUAAAUGCUAAACAGUCAAGGAUGUUACAAAUUAAAUAUAAUGCAUUUGUUCAUAUUUGUAUCUUGUUUGGAAGCGUGUGUGCAUUUGCGAACACACUUAUGCAUGUGUGUGAGAGAGAGAGAUUAACAGUAGUAAUAAUUGUGUUCAUUUGGAUAUUUUUACGAGUAAUAAUUUCUUUCCAUUAAUCUUUUAGUUUGCUUU